Molecule: ribosomal RNA, 552 nt
Filed under: uncultured bacterium
Lineage: Bacteria
Description: bacterial SSU rRNA
Rfam family: Bacterial small subunit ribosomal RNA
Source: RNAcentral
AAUAGAUACCCGGGUAGUCCUGGCCCUAAACGAUGGGGACUAGGUAGUCGGCCGGCAUGGGCUGACUGCCGGAGCCAAAGUGCUAAGUCCCCGCCUGGGGAGUAUGGCCGCAAGGCUGAAACUCAAAGGAAUUGACGGGGGCUCACACAAGCGGUGGAGCAUGUGGCUUAAUUCGAGGCUACGCGAAGAACCUUAUCCUGGGCUUGACAUGUGCGAAAGCGGGAGGAAGUACCCGCCGGAAACGGCCGGGGAACGGUACCCAGUCCGGAACCUUCCACAGGUGCUGCAUGGCUGUCGCCAGCUCGUGUCGUGAGAUGUCGGGUUAAGUCCCAUAACGAGCGAAACCCUUACCCCCAGUUGCCAGCCAACGGGACUCUGGGGGGACUGCCGGUGUCAAACCGGAGGAAGGUGGGGAUGACGUCAAGUCCUCAUGGCCUUUAUGCCCAGGGCUGCACACGUGCUACAAUGGCGUGCACAGAGGGAGGCGACUGCGCGAGCAGGAGCGGACCCCCCGAAAACACGCCCCAGUUCAGAUCGCGGGCUGCAACUCCG